GGACAUGGUCUGCUGUGCCCCUUGGCUCCUGUGAACCCUCAUAAAGUUAAUAAGUCACAGGUGGGAGUCACUGCCUUGGGGAUGCUGAGUGCCCUCCGUGCCAACUAGGCUUAUGAAGACAGGAUUUGUGGACUCAGAGCCCCUCCCCGCCAGACUCCAAACAGAAUGCUGCGAUGGGAUCAGUGUGCCUGGAUUAUCACCUGGUUCCUUGGGAGUCUCUAAAUGUGAACAUCACUUUGUUUUGAUUUAUAGAUGAUUGGAGUAAAUAUAAGAGAAGUUAAGAAACCCACCUGGGUCAGAGGGCUAGUGGGAGGUGAUGAUGUGGGGACAGAACCCUGGCGGUGCCAUGUCCCUGUGCUUCCUAUGAUGUCAUAGCGACACCCAGAGAUAGGGGAUCCUUUAGCCACCCGAGAAGGCCUUCUCUUUGAGAGGCCCAGAUACCAACUGGAGGUGUUCGCAAGGGAGACUAAGCCAAGCAGCAUCCUAGGAACCUUGGAAGCACGUGUGGAGGAGUGAUGGCAUUCCAUGAUGACAUGUGACCUGCUUUGGACAUGUGGCAUGAACAUGUGCUUAUUCUUACUGCAGCGUAAUCAAACCUGGCUAGUGAAGCCAUUAGUGUCCUGGUCUGCAAGUGAUGGUCAGGGGCAGAAGCCACAAUACCAGGAGACUAAGGUGUGGCAGAAGAGGACACUGACCAGUGGGCUCACUAUGAUAUAAACUCCACAAAGACGGAGCUUUUAUUUGUUUUCAACAGUGUUCAGGAGAGUGGCUAGCACCCAGUGGGUGCUCAUUAGAUGCUGAAUGAAUGGACAGAGGACAGGAGGUAAGGUGUGGUAGUAGCCCACAUGAAAGCAAUCAGCCCAAUAGACAAAAGUGCCUGAUUCCGGAGACAGCUCACAGUUCCCUGCUCAUCCAUUCACUUACUCAACUCGCACAGGCUGAAACACAGACUGCAGAAGGGCUCUGUACCUCCCCCAGCCCCCCCCCCAGUCACCAGAUCCACUUAAAACAGUGACCAGGUUUCAUGGGAAAUGGUGAAGAAAGUUUUCCAUUGGAAUUUUAUUUUGGAAAAGUAAAACAACAACUUGAAAACAGAAUCCUACAUUGGGUCAAAAUAAAAUUAUAACUGUAUAUUAAAACUUUCAAUGAA
This is a long non-coding RNA of Peromyscus leucopus (white-footed mouse), 1150 nucleotides long. RefSeq lists it as uncharacterized. The record is from RefSeq and is a predicted model, not a curated record. The transcript is spliced from 2 exons. Lineage: Eukaryota; Metazoa; Chordata; Mammalia; Rodentia; Cricetidae.